CAAUAGCGUAUAUUAAAGUUGUUGCGGUUAAAAAGCUCGUAGUUGGAUUUCUGCCGAGGACGACCGGUCCGCCCUCCGGGUGAGUAUCUGGCUCGGCCUGGGCAUCUUCUUGGAGAACGUAGCUGCACUUGGCUGUGUGGUGCGGUAUUCAGGACUUUUACUUUGAGGAAAUUAGAGUGUUUCAAGCAGGCACACGCCUUGAAUACAUUAGCAUGGAAUAAUAAGAUAGGACCUCGGUUCUAUUUUGUUGGUUUCUAGAUCUGAGGUAAUGAUUAAUAGGGAUAGUUGGGGGCAUUCGUAUUUAACUGUCAGAGGUGAAAUUCUUGGAGUUGUUAAAGACGGACUACUGCGAAAGCAUUUGCCAAGGAUGUUUUCAUUGA
RNAcentral lists this ribosomal RNA (380 nucleotides) under uncultured eukaryote. RNAcentral's name for it is "partial 18S ribosomal RNA". It matches the Rfam family "Eukaryotic small subunit ribosomal RNA", at positions 592 to 976 of the family's 1831-position model. The record is from RNAcentral.